AUGUUCACAUGAUUAAAGGUAUUCCGGUAGACGAUGGGGAUGCGUUCCAUUAGAUAGUAGGCGGGGUAACGGCCCACCUAGUCUUCGAUGGAUAGGGGUUCUGAGAGGAAGGUCCCCCACAUUGGAACUGAGACACGGUCCAAACUCCUACGGGAGGCAGCAGUGAGGAAUAUUGGUCAAUGGGCGAGAGCCUGAACCAGCCAAGUAGCGUGAAGGAUGACUGCCCUAUGGGUUGUAAACUUCUUUUAUAAAGGAAUAAAGUCGGGUAUGUAUACCCGUUUGCAUGUACUUUAUGAAUAAGGAUCGGCUAACUCCGUGCCAGCAGCCGCGGUAAUACGGAGGAUCCGAGCGUUAUCCGGAUUUAUUGGGUUUAAAGGGAGCGUAGAUGGAUGUUUAAGUCAGUUGUGAAAGUUUGCGGCUCAACCGUAAAAUUGCAGUUGAUACUGGAUAUCUUGAGUGCAGUUGAGGCAGGCGGAAUUCGUGGUGUAGCGGUGAAAUGCUUAGAUAUCACGAAGAACUCCGAUUGCGAAGGCAGCCUGCUAAGCUGCAACUGACAUUGAGGCUCGAAAGUGUGGGUAUCAAACAGGAUUAGAUACCCUGGUAGUCCACACGGUAAACGAUGAAUACUCGCUGUUUGCGAUAUACUGCAAGCGGCCAAGCGAAAGCGUUAAGUAUUCCACCUGGGGAGUACGCCGGCAACGGUGAAACUCAAAGGAAUUGACGGGGGCCCGCACAAGCGGAGGAACAUGUGGUUUAAUUCGAUGAUACGCGAGGAACCUUACCCGGGCUUAAAUUGCAGAUGAAUUACGGUGAAAGCCGUAAGCCGCAAGGCAUCUGUGAAGGUGCUGCAUGGUUGUCGUCAGCUCGUGCCGUGAGGUGUCGGCUUAAGUGCCAUAACGAGCGCAACCCUUGUUGUCAGUUACUAACAGGUUCCGCUGAGGACUCUGACAAGACUGCCAUCGUAAGAUGUGAGGAAGGUGGGGAUGACGUCAAAUCAGCACGGCCCUUACGUCCGGGGCUACACACGUGUUACAAUGGGGGGUACAGAGGGCCGCUACCACGCGAGUGGAUGCCAAUCCCCAAAACCUCUCUCAGUUCGGACUGGAGUCUGCAACCCGACUCCACGAAGCUGGAUUCGCUAGUAAUCGCGCAUCAGCCACGGCGCGGUGAAUACGUUCCCGGGCCUUGUACACACCGCCCGUCAAGCCAUGGGAGCCGGGGGUACCUGAAGUGCGUAACCGCGAGGAGCGCCCUAGGGUAAAACUGGUGACUGGGGCUAAGUCGUAACAAGGUAGCCGUACCGGAAGGUGCGGCUG
This 1316-nucleotide ribosomal RNA is filed under the name gut metagenome. RNAcentral's name for it is "bacterial SSU rRNA". It matches the Rfam family "Bacterial small subunit ribosomal RNA", at positions 189 to 1520 of the family's 1533-position model. The record is from RNAcentral.